CAAAGUUACAGGGUAAGGUAAUAGGACAAAGUCAAAACAAGAUCAGCCUAGGUGCAUUCUAGUCAGGAAAUCUUUCGCUUGCGCAGUAUGAUCGCUUAGUGCUAGGAUCCCUUUCAGUGUUCGAUAGGGAUUAGUGUUUUCUUGCUCAAAAAGCUUACGAUUCCUUGCAUUCCAAAGUUUCCAACACAUUAAGCCAAAGACUACCGUCCGAGAAGGAUUGCUGUGGGUGAGGCUGAGAUUCUGACAAAACCAUUCAUUGAGUGGUUGAUUUGAGAAGUGACUGAAUCUGAGGAGGCACGAUGAGGUUCCAACAUGUAGCAGCCAGCUCACACUUUCUUAGGACAUGAUUCAGGUCCUCUUUCUCUCUUCCACAGAUGCUACAGGUGUCCGAUUCUGCCAUAUGCCAACGGACUCUGACUUCAUUGGUGAGCAAUUUGUUACUCAUAGCAAUUUGGUUGCGUCUACUUCUCUCUGUUGGUGCUUGAUAUGGAUGACGGCUAAGGUUCGGCUAAAGGUCUGCAGCUGUAAUAAUUCUAAUUGGGUUAAGUGUGUACGGAUGCAUGUCACAUUUCCCCAUUGGCCAAAAUAUGUCAAGCUUGUCUUUGGUUGCUCCUGAGUAGAGUCCUGAGUUAUUCCUUGACCUAUCCUUGGUUUGGGGUUGCCGAUUUGAAUCCGCUGCAGGAGUUUAAGCACCCGAGAGCAACACUCCUGUGGCGAAGCAGACCACAUAAAAAAAGUAUGCAAGCGACAACACUAAGAGGAAGAAUUCGGAAGAGUCCUCUGAAUCUGAGGAGGAAGAAAGUGACGACGAUAGCAAAAAGCAGGCGAAUGCUCAGGCAGAAAACAAAAGACGCAGUGGUGGAAAUUAUUCAGGGAAAGGUCGAGGCAAGGCAUCCAAGAAAUCAGCUGCUGAGGAAAAAGGAUCUGGUCGUGGACGUGGUCGUCCUCCUGCGGUGAAGAAGCGUUCUAAAUCUUCUGUAAAGACUAGUACGACAGGAAGACCGCGAAAGUCAUGACGUGGGUUUUUUUAUCAUCAAAACUGGAAAUUUACCGUGUAAUUUAUUUGCCGGUGAACUCGCCAGCUUAACAUUAGAUUAUAGUUAAAAUUUUGCCUCGUAAAUCUUUUACUCUGCAUUUCAUUUUCCAUGGUUCUUGAGCGUGCUUUCUUCUUUUCAAACCUUUAUUAUUCUGGGCUGGUGAAUUAUUUGUUGUUGAAGAAA
This is a long non-coding RNA of Neltuma alba, 1220 nucleotides long. RefSeq lists it as uncharacterized. The transcript is spliced from 2 exons. The record is from RefSeq and is a predicted model, not a curated record. Lineage: Eukaryota; Viridiplantae; Streptophyta; Magnoliopsida; Fabales; Fabaceae.